This 511-nucleotide ribosomal RNA is filed under the name fungal sp. Art6. Its description in RNAcentral is "eukaryotic LSU rRNA". The stretch from base 170 to 323 matches the Rfam family "5.8S ribosomal RNA". The record is from RNAcentral. Lineage: Eukaryota; Fungi.
CAUUACACAAUAUGAAGGCGGGCUGGAACCUCUCGGGGUUACAGCCUUGCUGAAUUAUUCACCCUUGUCUUUUGCGUACUUCUUGUUUCCUUGGUGGGUUCGCCCACCACUAGGACAAACAUAAACCUUUUGUAAUUGCAAUCAGCGUCAGUAACAAAUUAAUAAUUACAACUUUCAACAACGGAUCUCUUGGUUCUGGCAUCGAUGAAGAACGCAGCGAAAUGCGAUAAGUAGUGUGAAUUGCAGAAUUCAGUGAAUCAUCGAAUCUUUGAACGCACAUUGCGCCCUUUGGUAUUCCAAAGGGCAUGCCUGUUCGAGCGUCAUUUGUACCCUCAAGCUUUGCUUGGUGUUGGGCGUCUUGUCUCUAGCUUUGCUGGAGACUCGCCUUAAAGUAAUUGGCAGCCGGCCUACUGGUUUCGGAGCGCAGCACAAGUCGCACUCUCUAUCAGCAAAGGUCUAGCAUCCAUUAAGCCUUUUUUUCAACUUUUGACCUCGGAUCAGGUAGGGAUAC